GCCUAAUACAUGCAAGUCGAGCGGGCCUCCGGAGGUGCUUGCACCUCCGGAAGGCCAGCGGCGGACGGGUGAGUAACACGUGGGCAACCUGCCUUUAUCAGGGGGAUAGCCCGGGGAAACCCGGAGUAAUACCGCAUAACACAUGAUAAGGCAUCUGAUUAUGUUGCAAGAUUUAUAGGAUAGAGAUGGUCAUGCGUAGGAUUAGCGAGUUGGUGAGGUAACGGCUCACCAAGGCGACGAGCCUUAGGGGCUCUGAGAGGAGUACCCCCCACACUGGCACUGAGAUACGGGCCAGACUCCUACGGGAAGCAGCAGUAGGGAAUAUUGGGCAAUGGGCGAGAGCCUGACCCAGCCAUGCCGCGUGCAGGAAGACGGCCCUCUGGGUUGUAAACUGCUUUUGAAUGGGAAGAACGGUAUGCCUGCGGGCGUAAUUGACGGUACCAUUAGAAUAAGCCACGGCUAACUACGUGCCAGCCGCCGCCGUAA
RNAcentral lists this ribosomal RNA (486 nucleotides) under uncultured bacterium. RNAcentral's name for it is "partial 16S ribosomal RNA". It matches the Rfam family "Bacterial small subunit ribosomal RNA", at positions 46 to 523 of the family's 1533-position model. The record is from RNAcentral.